Molecule: ribosomal RNA, 253 nt
Filed under: uncultured bacterium
Lineage: Bacteria
Description: partial 16S ribosomal RNA
Rfam family: Bacterial small subunit ribosomal RNA
Source: RNAcentral
UACGUAGGCAGCGAGCGUUGUCCGGAAUCACUGGGCGUAAAGGGCGUGUAGGCGGCUUGAUAAGCGUGCGGUGAAAGCCCGGGGCUCAACCCCGGGUCGGCCGUGCGAACUGUCGAGCUGGAGCACUGUAGAGGCAGGUGGAAUUCCGGGUGUAGCGGUGGAAUGCGCAGAUAUCAGGAGGAACACCGAUGGCGAAGGCAGGUCUCUGGGCAUUAACUGACGCUGAGGAGCGAAAGCAUGGGGAGCGAACAGG